GGGCUAGGUAAUGGGUGGGGUGGUUGGCAGGGUCAAGUUGGGGUGUGGCGUGGGUAGGGGCUAGGUCUAAGGGAGGUGGAGGAGAGGAGAGGAGACGGCGGCCCUAGGGGAGGGCCAAGAAGAGGCCUUUCCCCUUCUCUUCGUCACACACAGCCGCGCCGCCUCGUUACCGCCUGUUCGGCUCGGCCCGCGACCACGACAUGCGGCGGCUGGUGCGCCGCGACGAGCGGCCCCCGCCUCCCCCCUUCCCGGUCGAGCUGCGCAAGCGGAGGUAGCGGAGGACGCCGAAGGAGAGGCAGGCGUGGGGGCGCCAGUUGCUCCUACCUCCCCUGUCCUUGUCGCUGAGCUAAGAGCUCGACCGCGUCGACGAGCUGCACAUGCUACGGGAGAUGGGACGGUUCCUACCCCUUUAACGGGCCCACCUAGGCGUCCUCGAUCAUCAGGGGUUCGAUAGGCUCUCCAAGUACCCCGACUCUCGACGAUACCAGUCGUUAACGGGGUCACAAUCGAGUAAGCGCCGCUUAGAACCGAAGGUGGAAAACCAAAACACUUCACUUCAACUUUUUACGGUAAGAUUACGUACUGUCCUGUCCUGAUUUAAUAAAAUGUCAUCUACGAUGUAGUCAGAUACACGGUAAAACAACACAAUGCGUCAGUUGGUACCUCGUUACAUAACAUGUUACUUUCGUGUAGACACAUGUUACUGUGCAGAUCUGAAUGUGUUUAUUGAAAUAAUACGUAUAGGACGUCCUUAGUAGUAGGUUACGAUGACCGUGUCACCGUUGUUCCUCAUUGUGCAAGACUAAACCGGUUCCUCAAGAGAAAACUCCUUAAAUACUUCCAUACACUGUCUAAAUAACGGGCAUUCGAACACGUUGCCAAAAUACUGUUUCGGGAACGCAAACCAGAUUUCCCGAUACGUUUCGACGAACACCACCGCUGCGACUGCCAGCAGCUCUCCAAGCACCUGACCUACCACAGCACCGACGGCUACCUAAGGAAGCAGGCGACCACCACUCCGUGCUCGUGCUGUAGCUAGCUCCGGACGACCUCGACUCCCAGUCCCGCUCCCUGCACUGCCGCAGUGUUGAGUUCCGCCGCCGGCGGCAGCCAGUCCACACCGAGCGCUCCGACGAGCCACACAAAGCAGCGUCGAUGUCCGGUGCACUAGUCCGGCCCGUCCGAAGCGUGUAACUGAUCCGUGUGUUGUGAUACACUAUCCUUAAUAUGUACUCAACGGCGAUCGAUGUUACUCUUUAACACACUACCACCUAUGUUGUUAACACACUGUUUUACCUUAACGAAGUAAAAAAAAUUAAGGAUUAUUCAAUGAUCAUCG
This 1339-nucleotide ribosomal RNA is filed under the name Triticum aestivum (bread wheat). RNAcentral describes it as "partial small subunit ribosomal RNA". Lineage: Eukaryota; Viridiplantae; Streptophyta; Magnoliopsida; Poales; Poaceae. The record is from RNAcentral.